UGGGGAAUUUUGGACAAUGGGCGCAAGCCUGAUCCAGCCAUGCCGCGUGUCUGAAGAAGGCCUUCGGGUUGUAAAGGACUUUUGUCAGGGAAGAAAAGGACAGGGUUAAUACCUCUGUUUGAUGACGGUACCUGAAGAAUAAGCACCGGCUAACUACGUGCCAGCAGCCGCGGUAAUACGUAGGGUGCGAGCGUUAAUCGGAAUUACUGGGCGUAAAGCGAGCGCAGACGGUUACUUAAGCAGGAUGUGAAAUCCCCGGGCUCAACCUGGGAACUGCGUUCUGAACUGGGUGACUAGAGUGUGUCAGAGGGAGGUAGAAUUCCACGUGUAGCAGUGAAAUGCGUAGAGAUGUGGAGGAAUACCGAUGGCGAAGGCAGCCUCCUGGGAUAACACUGACGUUCAUGCUCGAAAGCGUGGGUAGCAAACAGGAUUAGAUACCCUGGUAGUCCACGCCCUAAACGAUGUCAAUUAGCUGUUGGGCAACUUGAUUGCUUAGUAGCGUAGCUACGCGUGAAAUUGACCGCCUGGGGAGUACGGUCGCAAGAUUA
RNAcentral lists this ribosomal RNA (548 nucleotides) under uncultured bacterium. RNAcentral describes it as "bacterial SSU rRNA". It matches the Rfam family "Bacterial small subunit ribosomal RNA", at positions 355 to 896 of the family's 1533-position model. The record is from RNAcentral.